GCGUGAGUGAAGAAGGCCUUAGGGUUGUAAAGCUCUUUUAGUGGGGAAGAUAAUGACUGUACCCACAGAAAAAGCCCCGGCUAACUUCGUGCCAGCAGCCGCGGUAAUACGAAGGGGGCUAGCGUUGUUCGGAAUCACUGGGCGUAAAGCGGGUGUAGGUGGAUGUUUAAGUGAGGGGUGAAAGCCCAAGGCUCAACCUUGGAACGGCCUCUCAUACUGAGCAUCUAGAGUCUGGAAGGGGGAAAUGGAAUUCCGAGUGUAGAGGUGAAAUUCGU
Molecule: ribosomal RNA, 275 nt
Filed under: uncultured bacterium
Lineage: Bacteria
Description: partial 16S ribosomal RNA
Rfam family: Bacterial small subunit ribosomal RNA
Source: RNAcentral